UACGGAGGGGGCGAGCGUUAUUCGGAAUUAUUGGGCGUAAAGGGCGCGUAGGCGGCUCUAUAAGUCAAAGGUGAAAUCCCUCGGCUCAACUGAGGAACUGCCUUUGAAACUGUUGGGCUUGAGGCCGGGAGAGGGUAGUGGAAUUCCCAGUGUAGCGGUGAAAUGCGUAGAUAUCGGAAGGAACACCAGUGGCGAAAGCGGCUUCCUGGUCCAGCACCGACGUUCAGGCACGAAAGCGUGGGGAGCAAACAGG
Molecule: ribosomal RNA, 253 nt
Filed under: uncultured bacterium
Lineage: Bacteria
Description: partial 16S ribosomal RNA
Rfam family: Bacterial small subunit ribosomal RNA
Source: RNAcentral